GGUUUGCUGAACUAACUCCAAGCUGGUGUGCCUAGCGUCCGCGCGGCUGCCGGCCCAAGAGCUGGAGUCACCAUGGCGGCCGGAGUUGCGGCCUGGCUGCCUUUUGCCCGGGCUGCGGCCAUCGGGUGGAUGCCGGUGGCCAACUGCCCCAUGCCCCUGGCCCCGGCCGACAAGAACAAGCGGCAGGAUGAGCUGAUUGUCCUCAACGUGAGUGGGCGGAGGUUCCAGACCUGGAGGACCACGCUGGAGCGCUACCCGGACACCCUGCUGGGCAGCACGGAGAAGGAGUUCUUCUUCAACGAGGACACCAAGGAGUACUUCUUCGACCGGGACCCCGAGGUGUUCCGCUGCGUGCUCAACUUCUACCGCACGGGGAAGCUGCACUACCCGCGCUACGAGUGCAUCUCUGCCUACGACGACGAGCUGGCCUUCUACGGCAUCCUCCCGGAGAUCAUCGGGGACUGCUGCUACGAGGAGUACAAGGACCGCAAGAGGGAGAACGCCGAGCGGCUCAUGGACGACAACGACUCGGAGAACAACCAGGAGUCCAUGCCCUCGCUCAGCUUCCGCCAGACCAUGUGGCGGGCCUUCGAGAACCCCCACACCAGCACGCUGGCCCUGGUCUUCUACUACGUGACUGGCUUCUUCAUCGCUGUCUCGGUCAUCACCAACGUGGUGGAGACGGUGCCGUGCGGCACGGUCCCGGGCAGCAAGGAGCUGCCGUGCGGGGAGCGCUACUCGGUGGCCUUCUUCUGCCUGGACACGGCGUGCGUCAUGAUCUUCACCGUGGAGUACCUCCUGCGGCUCUUCGCGGCUCCCAGCCGCUACCGCUUCAUCCGCAGCGUCAUGAGCAUCAUCGACGUGGUGGCCAUCAUGCCCUACUACAUCGGUCUGGUCAUGACCAACAACGAGGACGUGUCCGGCGCCUUCGUCACGCUCCGGGUCUUCCGCGUCUUCAGGAUCUUCAAGUUUUCCCGCCACUCCCAGGGCCUGCGGAUCCUGGGCUACACACUGAAGAGCUGUGCCUCCGAACUGGGCUUUCUUCUCUUCUCCCUCACCAUGGCCAUCAUCAUCUUUGCCACUGUGAUGUUUUAUGCCGAGAAGGGCUCCUCGGCCAGCAAGUUCACAAGCAUCCCUGCCUCGUUUUGGUACACCAUUGUCACCAUGACCACACUGGG
RNAcentral lists this non-coding RNA (1178 nucleotides) under Homo sapiens (human). Lineage: Eukaryota; Metazoa; Chordata; Mammalia; Primates; Hominidae. The record is from RNAcentral.